GAUGAACGCUAGCGGCAGGCUUAACACAUGCAAGUCGAGGGGCAGCGCGGGAUAGCAAUAUCCUGGCGGCGACCGGCGGAAGGGUGCGUAACGCGUGAGCGACAUGCCCGUUGCCCGGGGACAACCGGUGGAAACGCCGACUAAUCCCCGAUGGGAUAUUGUGCCGCAUGGCACGAUAUUGAAAGUUACGGCGGCGACGGAUUGGCUCGCGUCCGAUUAGCUUGUUGGCGGGGUAACGGCCCACCAAGGCUGCGAUCGGUAGGGGUUCUGAGAGGAAGGCCCCCCACAAUGGGACUGAGACACGGCCCAUACUCCGACGGGAGGCAGCAGUGAGGAAUAUUGGUCAAUGGGCGGAAGCCUGAACCAGCCAUGCCGCGUGCGGGAAGGAGGCCCUAUGGGCUGUGAACCGCUUUUGCCUGGGGGCAAUAAGGGCGUCGCGCACGUCCGAUGAGAGUACCAGGCGAAUAAGCAUCGGCUAACUCCGUG
This 486-nucleotide ribosomal RNA is filed under the name uncultured bacterium. RNAcentral's name for it is "partial 16S ribosomal RNA". It matches the Rfam family "Bacterial small subunit ribosomal RNA", at positions 28 to 507 of the family's 1533-position model. The record is from RNAcentral.